Molecule: long non-coding RNA, 228 nt
Filed under: Musa acuminata (dwarf banana)
Lineage: Eukaryota; Viridiplantae; Streptophyta; Magnoliopsida; Zingiberales; Musaceae
Description: long non-coding RNA (MACU_LNC007819)
Source: RNAcentral
AUUACUCUAUAGAGCCCAAUCCCUUUAUAGAAUUCUUUAGUUGGUAACUUCAAUGCCUAUGAACUAGACCGGUGUCAACUGAACAAGCCUUACUCACAAGGGAGUCAAUCUUCAUAGUUCCCACGUUACCCACUCCUAUAAUAGUUAUUUGAAUUGGAUUUAGUAACUGCCUCACUCUUUAUCGACUUACUUAUAUUCUUGCUACCUUGCCGAUUAGUCUAUCUAUCC